RNAcentral lists this ribosomal RNA (520 nucleotides) under uncultured Glomus. RNAcentral's name for it is "SSU rRNA". It matches the Rfam family "Eukaryotic small subunit ribosomal RNA", at positions 569 to 1091 of the family's 1831-position model. Lineage: Eukaryota; Fungi; Glomeromycota; Glomeromycetes; Glomerales; Glomeraceae. The record is from RNAcentral.
AGCAGCCGCGGUAAUUCCAGCUCCAAUAGCGUAUAUUAAAGUUGUUGCAGUUAAAAAGCUCGUAGUUGAAUUUCGGGAUCAAUAUGUCUGUCGUGCCUUCGGUACGUACGGGUAUAAUUGGUUUCUACCUUCUGAUGAACCUUGAUGCCAUUAAUUUGGUGUCUUGGGGACUCAGGACUGUUACCUUGAAAAAAUUAGAGUGUUUAAAGCAGGCAUGCGCUUGAAUACAUUAGCAUGGAAUAAUGAAAUAGGACGUUCGAUUCUAUUUUGUUGGUUUCUAGGAUCGACGUAAUGAUUAAUAGGGAUAGUUGGGGGCAUUAGUAUUCAAUUGUCAGAGGUGAAAUUCUUGGAUUUAUUGAAGACUAACUACUGCGAAAGCAUUUGCCAAGGAUGUUUUCAUUAAUCAAGAACGAAAGUUAGGGGAUCGAAGACGAUCGGAUACCGUCGUAGUCUUAACCAUAAACUAUGCCGACUAGGGAUCGGAUGAUGUUAAUUUUUAAUGACUCAUUCGGCGCCUUAA